CCAGACUCCUACGGGAGGCAGCAGUGGGGGAUAUUGCACAAUGGGGGGAACCCUGAUGCAGCGACGCCGCGUGAGGGAAGACGGUUUUCGGAUUGUAAACCUCUGUCUUUAGGGACGAAACAAAUGACGGUACCUAAAGAGGAAGCCACGGCUAACUACGUGCCAGCAGCCGCGGCAAUACGUAUGGUGCAAGCGUUAUCCGGAUUUACUGGGGGUAAAGGGAGCGCAGGCGGCGCGCCAAGUCUGAUGUGAAACCCCGGGGCUCAACCCCGGGCAUGCAUUGGAAACUGGCGGGCUGGAGUGCCGGAGAGGUAAGCGGAAUUCCUAGUGUAGCGGUGAAAUGCGUAGAUAUUAGGAGGAACGCCAGUGGCGAAGGCGGCUUACUGGACGGCAACUGACGCUGAGGCUCGAAAGCGUGGGGAGCAAACAGGAUUAGAUACCCCCGUA
This 447-nucleotide ribosomal RNA is filed under the name uncultured bacterium. Its description in RNAcentral is "bacterial SSU rRNA". It matches the Rfam family "Bacterial small subunit ribosomal RNA", at positions 331 to 792 of the family's 1533-position model. The record is from RNAcentral.